UACGGAGGGUGCAAGCGUUAUCCGGAUUCACUGGGUUUAAAGGGUGCGUAGGCGGACAGGUAAGUCAGUGGUGAAAUCUCCGAGCUUAACUCGGAAACUGCCUUUGAUACUAUCUGUCUUGAAUACCGUGGAGGUGAGCGGAAUAUGUCAUGUAGCGGUGAAAUGCUUAGAUAUGACAUAGAACACCAAUUGCGAAGGCAGCUCGCUACACGAAUAUUGACUCUGAGGCACGAAAGCGUGGGGAUCAAACAGG
Molecule: ribosomal RNA, 253 nt
Filed under: uncultured bacterium
Lineage: Bacteria
Description: partial 16S ribosomal RNA
Rfam family: Bacterial small subunit ribosomal RNA
Source: RNAcentral